This is a long non-coding RNA of Balaenoptera musculus (blue whale), 548 nucleotides long. RefSeq lists it as uncharacterized. The record is from RefSeq and is a predicted model, not a curated record. The transcript has 3 exons. Lineage: Eukaryota; Metazoa; Chordata; Mammalia; Artiodactyla; Balaenopteridae.
UGUACCGUUCAGUUUUAAGGAAAGAUGACUGUCCAUGGACCAGACUUCCAAGAAGUAGAGCCUGGUGGCUCUGGUGUAGCAGAUGUAGGCUCUGCUCAGAGAGCCUGACCCCCAAUAUCUCCAUGAACUUGUCUGUUUAAUUGUCUGAUGCUAGGGAGAUGCUGAGUAUAAUGACGGACAAGAAUACAACAGAAUGUCUGAAUGAACCUACAGUUCUUAGCCCUUGAACUUAUGGAGCAAUUCCAUCAGCCACCAUUCCCUUUUCCUGGACCCAGGCUGAAGAAGCAGCUCUUUCCUGGACGUUGUGAGUCUCAUGGGAGAGGAGAUGAGGGAUGGAAGAAUCACCUAUCCAUUAAAGCAUCCAUUAAUGGUCAUUAAAGCUUCUGCACAGAAGUAGCACAUGCCACUUCUACUCACAUUUCAUUGGCCAAAGUGAGUCAGAUGGACAGACAUGAACACAAUAGGGUGGGAAGAGUAUAAUCUUCCCAUAGGGAUAGUCUCUGUUGGGUGGGCCCAUUUAGGCGCUCCUUGUAAGAGGAGCAGCUGAU